UGGCGGACGGGUGAGUAACGCGUGGGUAACCUGCCUUAUACAGGGGAUAACAGUUAGAAAUGACUGCUAAUACCGCAUAAGCGCACAGGAUUGCAUGAUCUGGUGUGAAAAACUCCGGUGGUAUAAGAUGGACCCGCGUCUGAUUAGCUGGUUGGUGAGGUAACGGCCCACCAAGGCGACGAUCAGUAGCCGACCUGAGAGGGUGACCGGCCACAUUGGGACUGAGACACGGCCCAAACUCCUACGGGAGGCAGCAUG
RNAcentral lists this ribosomal RNA (258 nucleotides) under uncultured bacterium. RNAcentral's name for it is "partial 16S ribosomal RNA". It matches the Rfam family "Bacterial small subunit ribosomal RNA", at positions 96 to 353 of the family's 1533-position model. The record is from RNAcentral.